UUGGUUAAGUUAGAAAGGGCGCACGGUGGAUGCCUUGGCACUAGGAGCCGAAGAAGGACGGGACUAACACCGAUAUGCUUUGGGGAGCUGUACGUAAGCGUUGAUCCAGAGAUUUCCGAAUGGGGGAACCCACUAUCUUUAGUCGGAUAGUAUCCUUACGUGAAUACAUAGCGUGAGGAAGGCAGACCCAGGGAACUGAAACAUCUAAGUACCUGGAGGAAGAGAAAGAAAAAUCGAUUUCCUGAGUAGCGGCGAGCGAAACGGAAAGAGCCCAAACCAAGAAGCUUGCUUCUUGGGGUUGUAGGACACUCUAUACGGAGUUACAAAAGAAAGUUAUAAAUGAAGCGGUCUGGAAAGGCCCGCCAAAGACGGUAACAGCCCGGUAGUUGAAAUGGCUUUCCCUCCAGAGUGGAUCCUGAGUACGGCGGAACACGUGAAAUUCCGUCGGAAUCCGGGAGGACCAUCUCCCAAGGCUAAAUACUCCCUAGUGACCGAUAGUGAACCAGUACCGUGAGGGAAAGGUGAAAAGCACCCCGGAAGGGGAGUGAAACAGUUCCUGAAACCGUGUGCCUACAAGUAGUUAGAGCCCGUUAAUGGGUGAUAGCGUGCCUUUUGUAGAAUGAACCGGCGAGUUACGAUUUGUUGCAAGGUUAAGCGGAAAAAGCGGAGCCGUAGCGAAAGCGAGUCUGAAUAGGGCGCAUAAGUAACAGGUCGUAGACCCGAAACCAGGUGAUCUACCCAUGUCCAGGAUGAAGGUAAGGUAAUACUUACUGGAGGUCCGAACCCACGCACGUUGAAAAGUGCGGGGAUGAGGUGUGGGUAGCGGAGAAAUUCCAAUCGAACUUGGAGAUAGCUGGUUCUCUCCGAAAUAGCUUUAGGGCUAGCCUCGAGGUAAAGAGUCAUGGAGGUAGAGCACUGUUUGGACUAGGGGCCCUUCUCGGGUUACCGAAUUCAGAUAAACUCCGAAUGCCAUGUACUUAUACUCGGGAGUCAGACUGCGAGUGAUAAGAUCCGUAGUCGAAAGGGAAACAGCCCAGACCACCAGUUAAGGUCCCCAAAUAUAUGUUAAGUGGAAAAGGAUGUGGGGUUGCUUAGACAACCAGGAUGUUGGCUUAGAAGCAGCCACCAUUGAAAGAGUGCGUAAUAGCUCACUGGUCGAGUGACCCCGCGCCGAAAAUGUACCGGGGCUAAACAUAUUACCGAAACUGUGGAUGAACCUCUUUAGAGGUUCGUGGUAGGAGAGCGUUCUAAGGGCGGUGAAGUCAGACCGGAAGGACUGGUGGAGCGCUUAGAAGUGAGAAUGCCGGUAUGAGUAGCGAAAGAAGGGUGAGAAUCCCUUCCACCGAAUAUCUAAGGUUUCCUGAGGAAGGCUCGUCCGCUCAGGGUUAGUCGGGACCUAAGCCGAGGCCGAUAGGCGUAGGCGAUGGACAACAGGUAGAGAUUCCUGUACCAGUGCUAAUUGUUUAACCGAUGGGGUGACACAGAAGGAUAGGGAAUCGCACGAAUGGAAAUGUGCGUCCAAGCAGUGAGUGUGAGAAGUAGGCAAAUCCGCUUCUCGCGAAGCAUGAGCUGUGAUGGGGAAGGAAAUUAAGUACGGAAGUUCCUGAUUUCACGCUGUCAAGAAAAGCCUCUAGGAAGAGUAGUACUGCCCGUACCGCAAACCGACACAGGUAGAUGAGGAGAGAAUCCUAAGGUGAGCGAGAGAACUCUCGUUAAGGAACUCGGCAAAAUGAC
This 1734-nucleotide ribosomal RNA is filed under the name Listeria monocytogenes. RNAcentral's name for it is "partial 23S ribosomal RNA". It matches the Rfam family "Bacterial large subunit ribosomal RNA", at positions 1 to 1726 of the family's 2925-position model. Lineage: Bacteria; Bacillati; Bacillota; Bacilli; Caryophanales; Listeriaceae. The record is from RNAcentral.